UGCCCUGUCGUCUAAUGGUAGGACGCCUGGCUCUGGACCAGGUAGUCGUGGUUCGAAUCCACGCGGGGCAG
Molecule: transfer RNA, 71 nt
Filed under: Candidatus Omnitrophota bacterium
Lineage: Bacteria; Pseudomonadati; Candidatus Omnitrophota
Description: tRNA-Gln
Rfam family: tRNA
About the family: Transfer RNA (tRNA) molecules are approximately 80 nucleotides in length. Their secondary structure includes four short double-helical elements and three loops (D, anti-codon, and T loops).
Source: RNAcentral